RNAcentral lists this ribosomal RNA (433 nucleotides) under uncultured bacterium. RNAcentral describes it as "partial 16S ribosomal RNA". It matches the Rfam family "Bacterial small subunit ribosomal RNA", at positions 29 to 507 of the family's 1533-position model. The record is from RNAcentral.
AGCGAACGCUGGCGGCAGGCUUAACACAUGCAAGUCGAGCGGACCUUUCGGGGUCAGCGGCGGACGGGUGAGUAACGCGUGGGAACGUGCCUUCCGGUUCGGAAUAACCCUGGGAAACUAGGGCUAAUACCGGAUACGCCCUUAUGGGGAAAGGUUUACUGCCGGAAGAUCGGCCCGCGUCUGAUUAGCUAGUUGGUGGGGUAACGGCCUACCAAGGCGACGAUCAGUAGCUGGUCUGAGAGGAUGAUCAGCCACACUGGGACUGAGACACGGCCCAGACUCCUACGGGAGGCAGCAGUGGGGAAUAUUGGACAAUGGGCGCAAGCCUGAUCCAGCCAUGCCGCGUGAGUGAUGAGGGCCUUAGGGUUGUAAAGCUCUUUUAUCCGGGACGAUAAUGACGGUACCGGAGGAAUAAGCCCCGGCUAACUUCGUG